GGUUUGAUUCUGGCUCAGAUUGAACGCUGGCGGGAUGCUUUACACAUGCAAGUUGAACGGCAGCACGGACUUCGGUCUGGUGGCGAGUGGCGAACGGGUGAGCAAUGUAUCAAGAACGUGUGCUCUAGUAGCGGAGAAUCUACGCGUAGGUAGAAGCAUUACCGCAUAAUGUUCUUCGUAAAGCGGGGACUCGGGCCUCGCACCAGGGAGCGGCCGAUAUCGGAUUAGCUAGUUGGUGGGGUAACGGCUCACCAAGGCGACGAUCCGUAGCUGGUUUGAGAGGACGACUGUUACCACUGGGACUGGAGACACGGCCUGACUCCAGCGGGAGGCAGUGGGGGAAUUCUUUGGACAAUGGGGAAACCCUGAUCCAGCCAUCCCGCGUGUGCGAUGAAGGCCUUCUGGUUGUAAAGCACUUUGGCAGGAAAGAACGGCACGGGAUAAUACCCCGUGCAACUUGACGGUACCUGCAGAAUAAGCACCGGCUAACUACGCCAGCAGCCGCGGUAAUACGUAGGGUGCAAGCGUUAAUCGGAAUCGCCGGCGUAGCGUGGUGCAGGCGGUUCGGAAAGAAAGAUGUGAAAAUCCCAGAGCUUAACUUUGGAACCGCAUUUUUAACUACCGAGCUAGAGUGUCAGAGGGGAGGUGGAAUUCCGCGUGUAGCAGUGAAAUGCGUAGAUAUGCGGAGGAACACCGAUGGCGAAGGCAGCCCCUGAUAACACUGACGCUCAUGCACGAAAGUAGAUAAAAAACAGAUUAGAUACCCUGGUAGUCCACGCCCUAAACGAUGUCAACUAGCUGUUGGGGCCUUCGGGCCUUGUAGCGCAGCUAACGCAGGAAGUUGACCGCCUGGGGAGUGCCGGUCGCAAGAUUAAACUCAAAGGAAUUGACGGGGACCCGCACAAGCGGUGGAUGAUGUGGAUUGACCUGAUGCAACGCGAAAACCUUACCUACCCUUGACAUGUCUGGAAUCCCGAAGAGAUUUGGGAGUGCUCGCAAGAGAACCGGAACACAGGUGCUGCAUGGCUGUCGUCAGCUCGUGUCGUGAGAUGUUGGGUUAAGUCCCGCAACGAGCGCAACCCUUGUCAUUAGUUGCUGCUGAAAGGUACCCCUAAUGAGACUGGCCGGUGACAAACUGGAGGAAGGUGGGGAUGACGUCAAGUCCCUUUAUGGCCCUUAUGGGUAGGGCUUCACACGUCAUACAAUGGUCGGGACAGGGAUGUCGCCAACCCGCGAGGGGGAGCCAAUCCCAGAAACCCGAUCGUAGUCCGGAUCGCAGUCUGCAACUCGACUGCGUGAAGUCGGAAUCGCUAGUAAUCGCGGAUCAGCAUGUCGCGGUGAAUACGUUCCCGGCCUUGUACACACCACCCGUCACACCAUGGGAGUACUAACAGAAGUAGUUAGCCUAACCGUAAGGAGGGCGAUUACCACGGUAGGAUUCCAUGACUGGGGUGGUCGUAACAAGUUGCAACCUCG
This 1476-nucleotide ribosomal RNA is filed under the name uncultured Bordetella sp. Its description in RNAcentral is "partial 16S-23S ribosomal RNA intergenic spacer". It matches the Rfam family "Bacterial small subunit ribosomal RNA". The record is from RNAcentral. Lineage: Bacteria; Pseudomonadati; Pseudomonadota; Betaproteobacteria; Burkholderiales; Alcaligenaceae.